RNAcentral lists this ribosomal RNA (468 nucleotides) under uncultured bacterium. Its description in RNAcentral is "partial 16S ribosomal RNA". It matches the Rfam family "Bacterial small subunit ribosomal RNA", at positions 28 to 507 of the family's 1533-position model. The record is from RNAcentral.
GACGAACGCUGGCGGCGUGCUUAACACAUGCAAGUCGAACGGAAAGGCCCUGCUUUUGUGGGGUGCUCGAGUGGCGAACGGGUGAGUAACACGCGAGUAACCUGCCCUUGACUUUGGGAUAACUUCUGGAAACUGGGGCUAAUAUCGGAUAGGAGCUCCUGCUGCAUGGUGGGGGUUGGAAAGUUUCGGCGGUUUGGGCUGGACUCGCGGCUUAUCAGCUUGUUGGUGGGGUAGUGGCUUACCAAGGCUUUGACGGGUAGCCGGCCUGGGAGGGUGACCGGCCACAUUGGGACUGAGAUACGGCGCAGACUGCUACGGGAGGCAGCAGUGGGGAAUAUUGCACAAUGGGCGGAAGCCUGAUGCGGCGACGCCGCGUGCGGGAUGACGGCCUUCGGGUUGUAAACCGCUUUCGCCUGUGACGAAGCGUGAGUGACGGUAAUGGGUAAAGAAGCACCGGCUAACUACGUG